UAUUAUACUAAACUGUAAUAAAAUGUUUAAAAAUUAUAAGAUACAGUCUUUAAAUUUAAAGAAUUUGGCGGUAACUUAAUCUUUCCAGAGGAAUCUGUUUUAUUUGAUCGAUAGUCCACGAGAAUCUUACUUGUUUUCUUGAAUUGUAGUUUGUAUACCGUCAUUAUCAGAUAAUAUUUAAAGAAUAAUUAUUAAACCUUAAAAAAUAAAUAAAAUUAGAUCAAGGUGCAGCUUAUAAGCAAGUUAAAAUGGAUUACAAUUAAAUUUAUAUAAAUAUGAAAUAUAGUUUGAAAUUAUUAUAAGAAGGUGGAUUUGGUUGUAAUAGAGAUUAGUUAGAUAAAAAGAUAUAAGCUCUAAGUUAU
This 362-nucleotide ribosomal RNA is filed under the name Epialtoides kingsleyi. RNAcentral's name for it is "partial small subunit ribosomal RNA". Lineage: Eukaryota; Metazoa; Arthropoda; Malacostraca; Decapoda; Epialtidae. The record is from RNAcentral.